UGGGGCGGGAGAGGCCUGAGCGGGAGAGGGCUGCAGAAGAGUCCCUGGAGGGGCCCGCUCUCGCGAGAUCCCUGGAAGUUACUAGUUACUGUUGCCCAGAGAGGGGCGCGCCGGAGGACCGGGGACUCCAGCGCCGAGCGCAGUUGGCCUGACACGUCACACCCAGACAGUUUCAUCCUCUGGCGAUGCUUUGAAAGUCCUUACGGAAUUUCAUCCCUGAUGACUAAAAUUCAAGAACUUGACCCUUAGGUCAUCCCAUUUUAAGGAUGAGAAAACGCAGGUCCUGAGGGGGUAACUGACGUGACCUAUUCCCGAUCACCCAGGUAGCGGUAGAUUCUAAUUGGAAGGGCAGAGGAGCUGGAGGAGGGAAGCGCCUCUGGAGGAGAGAACCAACUGGUUACUUACUAAAGAAGAAAGUAUCUUCGCGUGAGAGAGAUCACGGCCAACUAGGUACUCCAACACAGCGUGGCCGGAGAGCUCCCGGACGUGACGCGGAGCGGACGCGAAGACAACGGCCCGGCCAACGUGUGUAAUUUGUCUCUACUCACGAGGAAACAAUCGGACGAAUCAAAAUUGAGACAUGCUGCAACACAACCUCCUGGUUUCUUCUAAAAUGUAAAUUUCAUGAAAAAGUAAGAAAAAAGCUUAAUGAACUGUUGCCAGAUUAAAGGAGACAAAAGAAAGAUGUGGCAUUCAUUACAAGCAAUGUGAUCCUACAUUGGACCAUGGAUCAAAAACAAACAAAAUAGCUAUUGAGGAACAUUACUGGGACAAUUGAGAACAUUUGACUAUAGAUCAUAUUAAUAUUACAACAAUGUAACAUUUUCUGAGGGCAAUGGUUGUAUCUUUGUUAGGCAGAAACGCCUUGUUUUUAGGAGAUACCCUCUGAAGUGUUCAGAAGUGAAAUAGCAUGUGUCUACAACUAAAAUGGUAAAAAAAAAUGAAAAAUGUACAAAAUGUUAACUGGUGAAUCUAGGUAAAAGAUGUAUGGGUGGUCAGUGCAUUAUUCUUGGAACUUUCCUGUAAGUUUUUAAAUGUUCAAAAUAAGUUGGAGAGAAAAAAAACUCCACAAAAUCCUUGAUGUUCAGUCCAUAAUACCAGGUUGCUGCUUAAAUCACUAGGCAAUGGCAAAUAGCAUUGUUUGCCUCCCAUGUGUAAUGCAUUUCAGGCUAAUAAGAAAUAAGGAACAUAAAUGCUCCCAAAGGACUCUUAAUGUAGAACUUGGACAGAUACCUGCCGAAUGCCAAAUAUGAUCAAUGUAACAAGCAAAGCAGUAUAACUUAGCUGAAUAAAAUUAAUGUUGGAGUUAAAA
Molecule: long non-coding RNA, 1312 nt
Organism: Manis javanica (Malayan pangolin)
Lineage: Eukaryota; Metazoa; Chordata; Mammalia; Pholidota; Manidae
Source: RefSeq, a predicted model, not a curated record